Molecule: non-coding RNA, 435 nt
Organism: Oryctolagus cuniculus (rabbit)
Lineage: Eukaryota; Metazoa; Chordata; Mammalia; Lagomorpha; Leporidae
Source: RefSeq, a predicted model, not a curated record
ACUGAGUGAUGUGGACUAGACACCCAACAUGAACGGAGGUGAGAAUGCAGAAAGAAGAGACAACAGAAUCAUACAGCUGACAAAGACAGCCAGCCCUCCCACAGGUGACAGGUGCGCUCAGAGCAGGGCCAGCCCUCCCACAGGUGACAGGUGAGCUCAGAGCAGGGCCAGCCCUCCCACAGGUGACAGGUGCGCUCAGAGCAGGGCCAGCCCUCCCACAGGUGACAGGUGCGCUCAGAGCAGGGCCAGCCCUCCCACAGGUGACAGGUGAGCUCAGAGCAGGGCCAGCCCUCCCACAGGUGACAGGUGCGCUCAGAGCAGGGCCAGCCCUCCCAGAGGUGACAGGUGAGCUCAGAGCAGGGCCAGCCCUCCCACAGGUGACAGGUGAGCUCAGAGCAGGGCCAGCCCUCCCACAGGAGACAGGUGAGCUCAGAG